UACGGAGGGUGCGAGCGUUAUCCGGAUUCACUGGGGUUAAAGGGUGCGUAGGUGGGCAAGUAAGUCAGUGGUGAAAUCUCCGGGCUUAACCCGGAAACUGCCAUUGAUACUAUUUGUCUUGAAUACUGUGGAGGUCAGCGGAAUAUGUCAUGUAGCGGUGAAAUGCUUAGAUAUGACAUAGAACACCAAUUGCGAAGGCAGCUGGCUACACAAAUAUUGACACUGAGGCACGAAAGCGUGGGGAUCAAACAGG
This 253-nucleotide ribosomal RNA is filed under the name uncultured bacterium. Its description in RNAcentral is "partial 16S ribosomal RNA". It matches the Rfam family "Bacterial small subunit ribosomal RNA", at positions 524 to 776 of the family's 1533-position model. The record is from RNAcentral.